CCCCUUUGGAUUCAGGAUUGUGAUCAAGGCACAGGAGACACCUGGACUGGAAAACCAAAGGAGACGGCUCAGCAGGAAGAGCUGGGGACUGAGUAUCUCAUCCACAUCACUGUGAUGCUUGCUUCUGGACCAGGACCCACCAUGGCCCGUGGGAUAAGCUCUGCUGCCAGGAGGUUCACAGCAGGACACAAGGACGGGAGCAACCAUCCAUCAAAGCACAUUGUCACCAGCGUGGCAGACAGCAAGCCCCAGGUGUGGAGGGGACAAGCUCUCACAAGCUCACUUUUUUUGGGCCUGGUUCCUGUUUCACAUGGCAGCAGGUUGGCCUCGACCUGGUGCUUGCCCCAACAGAGCAGGACACGGCAGCUUGAAAGGGACUGUUGGGAGAAGAACAGCUGAGAGCCACAACGAUCCCAGCACGUGUAUAAAUAGAGACAGAGCUGUUAUCCUGAUGAAAUGAGACCAGAUGUUUCUCCCAAAUCCCUCCUCUCUGCUAGCGAAAAUUAUAGUUUAGUUACAGCAGGGCAAAGCAGGCAGCAAAAUAUUUUCAACCAACUAAUGCAGGGAAGUCAAAGGGGCAAAAUGCCUCACUAGGGUAGGGGUACCAUGCCCUGUGAUGCUGCAGGGAUGGAUUGAGCAUGGUCAGAGUGGGAACAAGAGGAGUCCCUCACUGCCUUUGUUCUAUUUUUCUGCUUCCUAUCCCAGUAUUAAUGGGCUGAGUUUUAAAACCCAUGCUGCAGCCGCUUUUGUGAGGUAGAAAUUCAGUGUCAGCACAUGUAUCCUGGAGGCAGUUGGCACAAGAUGAAGGAGGGAUGGCAGCAGCAGUUAAAACUGGGCCUUGGCUCUUUAAUAUUUAACUUUCCCCAGUGCUGGGCUUUUUUUUUUUUUAAUCAGUUUGUGCAUUAUCUGCCAUCCCGUUCAAAGAGGGUUUUAGCACAGAGAUUUCAGUGCUUAAUCCCAGGGGCAGGGAAAGUGGAAGAGUCUCUCUGAAGGUUCCAGGGCUCAAUCUGGCCUCAAUUACACCAGCCUAAAUCAGCAAGGAGUGGCCACCACAGACUUUGCAGUGGCCACAUUGGGCUGCAGGUAACAAAACUGGGGGUCAGUCCUGUAUCUCUCCAGGAGAUACCUCUGGUCCCUAAGGCUCCAUCCAUAAGGGAGCUCCCAGGAGGAUCUAAACAUCGUCAGACUGUCUCAGAAUAAACGUGCACCUUGGGCAACAACUAGGGCCUGGCUGUGGCCAGCUGCAGAUGCUUAGGAAGGGAUAUCGGAAGAGGGAGAGUAUAAAGUGAUCCUUCCUCCGGCAUUUCCUCCUGGCUCCUGGUAAUCAGCAGUUGAGGGACUUCCUACGCCGGAGGUUGCAUGAAUUUGUGUAAUCCCUUUUGUUUGUUUUUUUUUUUUUUCUCAUUCAUUUAUACUUUUGGCCUCCAUGACAUCCUGUGGCAAUAAGUUCCACAAUGUAAUUAUGUGUUGUGUGAAAAAGUACUUCCUUUUGUCUGCUUCAGACCUGGCUCAUGAACAUUUCUCUCCAUGUUCUUGUGUUGUGAAGAAAACAGAAAAAAAAAUCCAGGUCCAUACAGACCUCUCUUGACCUCUUCAGACGUCUCUGUCUUUAUUUGCCCCAAGGUUUUGUUCUUCCAAACUGGAGUCUCCUUGUUUUUCUAGUCUUUCCUCCUCAUAUGGUAUCUAUCCCAUCACUUCCACUGUCCUUACUGCCCUCCUCCGUGUCUCUUCUCAUUUUCUUAUUGCCUUUUUUUUUUUUUUUUGAGAUAAGAUCACUGAAGUGAGACUUGCUCAUUUCUGAAGACAUGAAUUCAUUCUCCUGGAAGAAGGUCAGCGCAAAAGCUUUCUUUUCUCAAGCCACACUGGUGUACUUUUAGUUCUUUAACAACAUACAGCAGUCUUGGGCUUAACAAAAAUACACGUGCAGCUCUCUUGGAUUUAAUCUAUUCUGAGCAAACCCCCAGCCCUAAUUAAACUAGAGUCUGUGGGUUAAAACGAUAUUCACAAGUCAAUCAACUAAUAGGGCUGGUUUACACGAAGGGAAUUUCAUGCAUGUGCUUAUAUUACUGCUCAUUUAUGCCUUCACAAAUCCCCUGAGCACUACUGGUGGAGAAGACCCCCAGCCAGAACAGCUGAACUGGUGAGCAUGAAACUUGGGAGUCUCUGAUUUCCAGGACAUCUUUAUUUAUAAAAUAUGUCUAUUUUUGCUCCUGUCAUGCCCACAAAACCAGCCUUCCUAUUUUAGUCAUCCCUGCUCUUUAUCAUUGUUUAUGUUGCCCUGAACCCCACAAAUAAAGGCUGGAGAAUGAA
This is a long non-coding RNA of Taeniopygia guttata (zebra finch), 2310 nucleotides long. RefSeq lists it as uncharacterized. NCBI's taxonomy places the organism in Eukaryota, Metazoa, Chordata, Aves, Passeriformes, Estrildidae. The record is from RefSeq and is a predicted model, not a curated record.